Molecule: ribosomal RNA, 328 nt
Filed under: uncultured Sphingomonas sp.
Lineage: Bacteria; Pseudomonadati; Pseudomonadota; Alphaproteobacteria; Sphingomonadales; Sphingomonadaceae
Description: bacterial SSU rRNA
Rfam family: Bacterial small subunit ribosomal RNA
Source: RNAcentral
UUCGCCCUUAGAGUUUGAUCCUGGCUCAGAACGAACGCUGGCGGCAUACCUAACACAUGCAAGUCGAACGAAGGCUUCGACCUUAGUGGCGCACGGGUGCGUAACGCGUGGGAAUCUGCCCUUAGGUUCGGAAUAACAGCUGGAAACGGCUGCUAAUACCGGAUGAUAUCGCGAGAUCAAAGAUUUAUCGCCUGAGGAUGAGCCCGCGCUUGGAUUAGGUAGUUGGUGGGGUAAAGGCCUACCAAGCCGACGAUCCAUAGCUGGUCUGAGAGGAUGAUCAGCCACACUGGGACUGAGACACGGCCCAGACUCCUACGGGAGGCAGCAG